GAUCCUGGCUCAGGAUGAACGCUGGCGGCGUGCUUAACACAUGCAAGUCGAACGAAGCACUCUAUUUGAUUUUCUUCGGAAAUGAAGAUUUUGUGACUGAGUGGCGGACGGGUGAGUAACGCGUGGGUAACCUGCCUCAUACAGGGGGAUAACAGUUGGAAACGACUGCUAAUACCGGCAUAAGCGCACAGGAUCGCAUGAUCCGGUGUGAAAAACUCCGGUGGUAUGAGAUGGACCCGCG
Molecule: ribosomal RNA, 241 nt
Filed under: uncultured bacterium
Lineage: Bacteria
Description: partial 16S ribosomal RNA
Rfam family: Bacterial small subunit ribosomal RNA
Source: RNAcentral